RNAcentral lists this transfer RNA (64 nucleotides) under Valvata hokkaidoensis. RNAcentral's name for it is "tRNA-Cys". Lineage: Eukaryota; Metazoa; Mollusca; Gastropoda; Valvatidae. The record is from RNAcentral.
CAAAUCAUAGUUUAAUUAAAACAUUAAAUUGCAAAUUUAUAUAAAUCUACUAAGAUUGAUUUGU